UCCCUGAUGGCUCAGACGGUAAGAGUCUGCCUGCAAUGCAGGAGACCCAGGUUCGAUCCCUGAGUUGGGAA
RNAcentral lists this transfer RNA (71 nucleotides) under Ovis aries (sheep). It matches the Rfam family "tRNA". Rfam says of the family: Transfer RNA (tRNA) molecules are approximately 80 nucleotides in length. Their secondary structure includes four short double-helical elements and three loops (D, anti-codon, and T loops). The record is from Rfam by way of RNAcentral. Lineage: Eukaryota; Metazoa; Chordata; Mammalia; Artiodactyla; Bovidae.